RNAcentral lists this ribosomal RNA (1699 nucleotides) under Geophagus brasiliensis (pearl cichlid). Its description in RNAcentral is "16S ribosomal RNA". It matches the Rfam family "Bacterial large subunit ribosomal RNA". The record is from RNAcentral. Lineage: Eukaryota; Metazoa; Chordata; Actinopteri; Cichliformes; Cichlidae.
UGCCCAACAGCUAGCUCAUCCCCCCAACACCAACAAACCACUAUUAAUAACCCCAAAUUACACCUUACCUAACAAGCAAACCAUUUUUCCCCCUAAGUACGGGAGACGAAAAAGGACCUCCGAAGCAAUAGAGAAAGUACCGCAAGGGAAAGCUGAAAGAGACAAUGAAACAACUCAGUAAAGCACUAAAAAGCAGAGACCUCCCCUCGUACCUUUUGCAUCAUGAUUUAGCAAGAAAAAAUUAAGCAAAAUGCAUUAUAGUUUAACUCCCCGAAACUAGGUGAGCUACUCCAAGACAGCCUAACUUUAGGGCACCCCCGUCUCUGUGGCAAAAGAGUGGGAAGAACUUUGAGUAGAGGUGAUAGACCUACCGAACCUAGUUAUAGCUGGUUGCCUGAAAACUGAAUAGAAGUUCAGCCCUUUAAAUUCUCCCCCACACCUCCGACCCACUGUCAGCCACAGGUAAAAGAGAAAUUUUAAAGGAGUUAAUCAAAGGGGGUACAGCCCCUUUGAACAAAGAUACAACUUUCCCAGCAGGGAAAAGAUCAUAUUUUCUUAAGGUUCAUGCCCUGGUGGGCCUAAAAGCAGCCACCCAAACAGAAAGCGUUAAAGCUCGAGCAUAUAUCAGAACCCCCUAAUCCCGACAACAACAUCUUAACCCGCUACCCCUAUCAGGCCAUUCCAUCUCCACAUGGAAGCGAUUAUGCUAAUAUGAGUAAUAAGAGAGGCCCGCCUCUCUCCCUGCACACACAUAAAUCGGAACGAACCCCCACCGAAAAUUAACGGCCCCAAAAUCAAAGAGGGAACUGGACUACAAAAUAAACAACCAGAAAACCAUCCAACCACCCACCGUUAACCCUACACCGGUGUGCAUAAUAGGAAAGAUAAAAAGGAAAGGAAGGAACUCGGCAAACACAAGCCUCGCCUGUUUACCAAAAACAUCGCCUCUUGCAACACUCCCUUAUAAGAGGUCCCGCCUGCCCUGUGACUAUAAGUUUAACGGCCGCGGUAUUUUGACCGUGCAAAGGUAGCGCAAUCACUUGUCUUUUAAAUGAAGACCCGUAUGAAUGGCACCACGAGGGCUUAACUGUCUCCCUUUUCCUAUCAAUGAAAUUGAUCUCCCCGUGCAGAAGCGGGGAUACAUCCAUAAGACGAGAAGACCCUAUGGAGCUUUAGGCUCCAGAGUAGACUAUGUUAAACACCCUGCAAACAAAAGACAAAACUAAUUAGUCCCUACUCUACAUGCCUUUGGUUGGGGCGACCGCGGGGAAAUAAAAANCCCCCACGUGGAUCGGGAGCACAACCCUCCCAAAACCAAGGACCACACUCCUAAGUCACAGAACUUCUGACCAAACAUGAUCCGGCGUCAAGCCGAUCAACGAACCUAGUUACCCUAGGGAUAACAGCGCAAUCCCCUUUUAGAGCCCAUAUCGACAANGGGGGUUUACGACCUCGAUGUUGGAUCAGGACAUCCUAUUGGUGYARCSRYYAUUAAGGGUUCGUUUGUUCAACGAUUAAAGUCCUACGUGAUCUGAGUUCAGACCGGAGUAAUCCAGGUCAGUUUCUAUCUAUGCCAUGAUCUUUUCUAGUACGAAAGGACCGAAAAGAAGAGGUCCCUGUUUUCAACACACCUCACUCUUACCUAAUGAAACCAACUAAAAUAGGCAAAAGAGCAUAUCCCCAGCUUAAGAAAACAGCU